UAGGGAAUAUUGGACAAUGGGUGAGAGCCUGAUCCAGCCAUGCCGCGUGCAGGAAGAAGGCGUUAUGCGUUGUAAACUGCUUUUUGCCAGGGGAUAAAAUGACCGUGCGCGGUUAAUUGAAGGUACCUGGUGAAUAAGCCACGGCUAACUACGUGCCAGCAGCCGCGGUAAUACGUAGGUGGCAAGCGUUGUCCGGAUUUAUUGGGUUUAAAGGGUGCGUAGGUGGCCCUGUAAGUCAGUGGUGAAAUAUCUCAGCUUAACUGAGAGGGUGCCAUUGAUACUGCAGGGCUUGAGUACAGAUGAGGUAGGCGGAAUUGACGGUGUAGCGGUGAAAUGCAUAGAUAUCGUCAAGAACACCGAUAGCGAAGGCAGCUUACCAAGCUGUAACUGACACUGAGGCACGAAAGUGUGGGGAUCAAACAGGAUUAGAUACCCCUGUAGUCCCUGAGCGGGCUGGCAAGGCGCAU
This 467-nucleotide ribosomal RNA is filed under the name uncultured bacterium. RNAcentral's name for it is "bacterial SSU rRNA". It matches the Rfam family "Bacterial small subunit ribosomal RNA", at positions 355 to 825 of the family's 1533-position model. The record is from RNAcentral.